RNAcentral lists this ribosomal RNA (254 nucleotides) under uncultured bacterium. Its description in RNAcentral is "partial 16S ribosomal RNA". It matches the Rfam family "Bacterial small subunit ribosomal RNA", at positions 524 to 776 of the family's 1533-position model. The record is from RNAcentral.
UACGUAGGGUGCGAGCGUUGUCCGGAAUUACUGGGCGUAAAGAGCUCGUAGGUGGUGUGUCGCGUCGGCCGUGAAAACCUGCAGCUUAACUGUGGGCUUGCGGUCGAUACGGGCAUCACUGGAGUUCGGCAGGGGAGACUGGAAUUCCUGGUGUAGCGGUGAAAUGCGCAGAUAUCAGGAGGAACACCAAUUGCGAAGGCAGCUCGCUGGGACGUAACUGACGCUGAGACGCGAAAGCGUGGGGAGCAAACAGG